This 2470-nucleotide long non-coding RNA is filed under the name Ficedula albicollis (Collared flycatcher). RNAcentral's name for it is "lncRNA (ENSFALG00000025518.1)". The record is from RNAcentral. Lineage: Eukaryota; Metazoa; Chordata; Aves; Passeriformes; Muscicapidae.
CACCCCGGGGUCCCUGUCCCAUCCCAGUGUCCCUGUUCCACCCUGGGGUCCCUGUCCCACCCCGGGGUCCCUGUCCCAUCCCAGUGUCCCUGUCCCACCCUGGGGUCCCUGUCCCACCCCGGGGUCCCUGUCCCAUCCCAGUGUCCCUGUUCCACCCUGGGGUCCCUGUCCCACCCCGGGGUCCCUGUCCCAUCCCAGUGUCCCUGUCCCACCCUGGGGUCCCUGUCCCACCCCGGGGUCCCUGUCCCAUCCCAGUGUCCCUGUUCCACCCUGGGGUCCCUGUCCCACCCCGGGGUCCCUGUCCCAUCCCAGUGUCCCUGUCCCACCCUGGGGUCCCUGUCCCACCCCGGGGUCCCUGUCCCAUCCCAGUGUCCCUGUUCCACCCUGGGGUCCCUGUCCCACCCCGGGGUCCCUGUCCCAUCCCAGUGUCCCUGUCCCACCCUGGGGUCCCUGUCCCACCCCGGGGUCCCUGUCCCAUCCCAGUGUCCCUGUCCCCCCCCGCCCCAUCCAGGACGUCACCUGGGCCACACCUUCAUGGCCAGCAGGGCCACGAUGGCCACGGCCACGAUGGCCACGAACAGCCCGGACAGGACCUGGAAGGUCCUCAGGUGGCUCAGAGCUGUGGACAGAGGGGGGGUCAGUGCCACCCCGGAGCUUGGGGUGCCCCAAAAGGGGUGAAGGGGACACUGGGGUGACAGUCAAAGUGGGGGACACCCCUUGGCACGCAGGGGUGGGGACAGGCAGCAUUUGGGGUGGGGACACACACGGGGGGUGGUCACAGUGGGGACAACUGCUGCUCCUGCCUGCCACUGUCCCCUGUCCUAAAGGCCACCCUGCAAGGGACAUCAUCCCCAAAACUGUGUGCCCCCAAAACUCCUCACCUGUGCAGGUGUGUGCCCCAAAACUCCUCACCUGUCCCAGGUGUGUGACCCCAAAACUCCUCACCUGUCCCAGCUGUGUGACCCCAAAACUCCUCACCUGUGCAGGUGUGUGCCCCAAAGCUCCUCACCUGUCCCAGGGCGUCCCCAACACACCCACAAAUGCCACCCCCAUAUUUUACCGUCCCUCCCUCAAUCCCAUCCCCACUUCCUUCUAUUGAGGAUUUUUUUUUUUUUUUAGGAUUUCCACGCCCCACUCACUGUGCACAUCCAAGUCAGCGCUGCCCGUGGCGUUGCCCAGGGCGUUGGUGGCCACGCACACGUAGCGUCCGCCAGCCCCUGUCCCCGCGGCCACCAGCUCCAGGCGCAGGGCGUUGCGCGAGGGGACGGCCCUGACCCCCGGGGUGACAGCGGGGGACAGGCUGGGGGCCAGCAGGUGGCCCUGGUGGUGCAGGGCCAGCCGGGAGGGCGGGUGGCUCUCGGCCGUGCACAGCACGAUGGCCCCGCGCCCGCUGCGGUUCUCCAGGAAGGUGCUGACCGAGACGGCCCGAGGAGGGUCUGGGAGGGGACACGGAGGGUGGCACCGGGACACAGCCACCGGCUGGCCACCAAAAAGUCAUUUAAGGGAUCUGUCCCGUCCUGCUCGUCCCGGUGCUGCGGGAUUCAAACCCUCCCCAGUCCUUGUCUCGCCGCCCCGGGGCUGGAGGAGCUUCCUGACUUGGAGCUUCUGGGCUCCAAAUCUGACCUUUGAGGGGUCAAUCCUAAAAAACCAGUCCCAAAUCCCUUUCCCAAAAGUUUCCUGACGCAUCCCUCCUCCAGCUUGGACCACGAUCAUCCCCCCUCCAGGCUUUUGCUCCCACCCCAGCUGGACAAUCCCUCAGUUCGGGGCUUUUUGGCUCCAAAUCCAACUUCUGAAGGAUUAAUCCUAAAAAAAAACCCCCAAAAUCCUUUUCCCCAGGUCACCAAGAGCUUCCCAACUCAUCCCUUUCCCAUCCUGGAUCAUCCCCAUCCCAUCCAUCUCUUCCCUGGUGGCUUCCCAUGUUCUCUCACUCCACACCCAACCAGAGAAUUCCUGUUUUGGAGCAUUUUGGCCCCAAAUCCACCUAAAAAACUCCCCCAAAAUCUCCUUCCCCAGGUCACCAAGAGCUUCUUAAUUCAUUCCUUUUUCAUUCUGGAUCAUCCCCACCCCAUCCUUUUCCAUUCUGGAUCAUCCCCACCCCAUCCACCCCCGCUCUGGUGGCUUCCCAUAUUCCCCAGCCUCUUCUUCCACAAGAAUUCCUCAGUUUUGGAGUAUUUUGGCCCCAAAUCCACCUAAAAAAAAAAAAAAACAACCCCAAAAUCCCUUUCCCCAGGUCACCGGAGAAUUCCUCAGUUUUGGAGCAUUUUAACCCCAAAUCUACCUAAAGAAAAAUGCCCCGAGAGAGGAGCAGGGCAGGAAGAGGAGGAAACCCCGCUGCCCUGGCGGAGGUGGCAGGCCCCCCCCCCCCCCCCCCCCCCCCCCCCCCCCCCCCCCCCCCCCCCCCCCCCCCCCCCCCCCCCCCCCCCCCCCCCCCCCCCCCCCCCCCCCCCCCCCCCCCCCCCCCCCCCCCCCC